This 73-nucleotide transfer RNA is filed under the name Eschrichtius robustus (grey whale). RNAcentral describes it as "tRNA-Arg". Lineage: Eukaryota; Metazoa; Chordata; Mammalia; Artiodactyla; Eschrichtiidae. The record is from RNAcentral.
UUCCCCGACCAGGGUUUGAACCUGGGACCAUGGCAGUAGAAGUGCCAAGUCCUAACCACUGGACUGCCAGGGA